Molecule: unclassified non-coding RNA, 1189 nt
Filed under: Bombus terrestris (buff-tailed bumblebee)
Lineage: Eukaryota; Metazoa; Arthropoda; Insecta; Hymenoptera; Apidae
Description: misc RNA ENSBTSG00005024961.1
Source: RNAcentral
AGUCGACGCCCACGCGUCUCUGUGUUCUCUCCCUGUUCGCCUCGUCGCGGCCCUUUCGCCAAAGAUUUCGUUUCGCCUCCUUCGCUCGAUUCCUUGACUAGAUUAAGGACAAGAUAAAAAUAAAAGGCAAUUGAAAAAAAUCAAAGAGUAGAAACUUUUCGAUAUCGAGUGUGUUGCGACGUGACACGUGCUCCUAGAUUUUACUCUUUCUUAUUCAACCGCGGUACGAGUUCAACGCACACAUGCUACCACUGCUAGCCAAUUCAACGAAUCCAUAUACGUGCCCACGACGUGUAUAGCGACGCCGGUCGAAGAUUUGUCUGGUGUACGAACCUGAGGAGAUCGAGGAAAGCCAUGGAAAAAUAGAGGGAAUUAGAAGGAGUAUUUAUCGAAAUGGUCUCGAACGGGGCUUGGCUUGGAGGGCGUGCAUAAUAGCAAGAAGCAGCGACAAAAGCGAAAGGCUUGUUCCUUUUCCGACGCUAGAGCAAAGCCCCGUGUGUCGCGAAGAGAGAGAGAGGUUGGACGGCAAAGAAGGAAAAUGGGCGGGAAACACGGCCGCUCCUCCCGCAGCCUGGCCAAACGACUUAAUGGCCAGUUAUGAACUUUCUUCAUCUAAGUUUCGAGUACUUUUUUGCGUAUAAAUUGAAAUUUUUAUCGGGCAUUCCGUGUUCCUUAACGAGCGUCUCUUAGCACUUUCUGCUCGAGAAGUUCCGCGAUCCGCGCGAUCAGUCACGGUAGCAAACUCGGUGGUAACGCGCCAAUUCGCCUUGCAAAACGAGCUUUAUACAGUUUCCUGUUUUGCGAUUCGUUCCAAGAUUUACCAAAUACGAGACUCUUGAAUUUCCGAGACUCGUUAGGUGGUUCGGUCUUUGUGUCUCUCGAACAUUUCGUUGAGAGAAUUUGAAACAGACGUUACGUUUGCCAACACCUUCUCCUCCAUCGUAACAAUUUUCAAUAAUUUUUCAUCUCACGAUAUACAAAAUUUUGCGACACCCCAAAAGACAUAUCGUAUUUAAUUGGAUACCGUACAUUCACACCGACUAUUGCGCAUAUGUAGUUAGAUAUCGCGUGUUUUAAAAAUUCGGCACACCGUACAUCGGUUGUAAAUCGAGACCCUAUCGCACAAAAAUCACGUGGUAUCCAAAGAUCGAUGGCCAAUUUCUUGCUCGAUCGGUUCUGUCAGUUAGAU